This 1062-nucleotide ribosomal RNA is filed under the name Rothia halotolerans. RNAcentral's name for it is "bacterial SSU rRNA". It matches the Rfam family "Bacterial small subunit ribosomal RNA", at positions 357 to 1428 of the family's 1533-position model. Lineage: Bacteria; Bacillati; Actinomycetota; Actinomycetes; Micrococcales; Micrococcaceae. The record is from RNAcentral.
GGGAAUAUUGCACAAUGGGCGCAAGCCUGAUGCAGCGACGCCGCGUGAGGGAUGACGGCCUUCGGGUUGUAAACCUCUUUCAGCAGGGAAGAAGCGAAAGUGACGGUACCUGCAGAAGAAGCGCCGGCUAACUACGUGCCAGCAGCCGCGGUAAUACGUAGGGCGCAAGCGUUGUCCGGAAUUAUUGGGCGUAAAGAGCUCGUAGGCGGCUUGUCGCGUCUGCUGUGAAAGCCCGGGGCUUAACCCCGGGUGUGCAGUGGGUACGGGCAGGCUAGAGUGCAGUAGGGGAGACUGGAAUUCCUGGUGUAGCGGUGAAAUGCGCAGAUAUCAGGAGGAACACCGAUGGCGAAGGCAGGUCUCUGGGCUGUUACUGACGCUGAGGAGCGAAAGCAUGGGGAGCGAACAGGAUUAGAUACCCUGGUAGUCCAUGCCGUAAACGUUGGGCACUAGGUGUGGGGGACAUUCCACGUUUUCCGCGCCGUAGCUAACGCAUUAAGUGCCCCGCCUGGGGAGUACGGCCGCAAGGCUAAAACUCAAAGGAAUUGACGGGGGCCCGCACAAGCGGCGGAGCAUGCGGAUUAAUUCGAUGCAACGCGAAGAACCUUACCAAGGCUUGACAUACACCGGAUCGCAGCAGAGAUGUUGUUUCCCCUUUGGGGCUGGUGUACAGGUGGUGCAUGGUUGUCGUCAGCUCGUGUCGUGAGAUGUUGGGUUAAGUCCCGCAACGAGCGCAACCCUCGUUCUAUGUUGCCAGCACGUGAUGGUGGGGACUCAUAGGAGACUGCCGGGGUCAACUCGGAGGAAGGUGGGGAUGACGUCAAAUCAUCAUGCCCCUUAUGUCUUGGGCUUCACGCAUGCUACAAUGGCCGGUACAAUGGGUUGCGAUACUGUGAGGUGGAGCUAAUCCCAAAAAGCCGGUCUCAGUUCGGAUUGGGGUCUGCAACUCGACCCCAUGAAGUCGGAGUCGCUAGUAAUCGCAGAUCAGCAACGCUGCGGUGAAUACGUUCCCGGGCCUUGUACACACCGCCCGUCAAGUCACGAAAGUUGGUAACACCCGAAGCC